RNAcentral lists this transfer RNA (74 nucleotides) under Clostridium aminobutyricum. Its description in RNAcentral is "tRNA-Gly". It matches the Rfam family "tRNA". From Rfam's summary of the family: Transfer RNA (tRNA) molecules are approximately 80 nucleotides in length. Their secondary structure includes four short double-helical elements and three loops (D, anti-codon, and T loops). The record is from RNAcentral. RNAcentral also lists the same sequence under 64 other names. Lineage: Bacteria; Bacillati; Bacillota; Clostridia; Eubacteriales; Clostridiaceae.
GCGGAUGUAGUUCAAUGGUAGAACCUCAGCCUUCCAAGCUGAUGGCGUGAGUUCGAUUCUCAUCAUCCGCUCCA